Molecule: ribosomal RNA, 451 nt
Filed under: uncultured bacterium
Lineage: Bacteria
Description: partial 16S ribosomal RNA
Rfam family: Bacterial small subunit ribosomal RNA
Source: RNAcentral
GUGGGGAAUAUUGGACAAUGGGGGGAACCCUGAUCCAGCCAUGCCGCGUGUGUGAAGAAGGCCUUUUGGUUGUAAAGCACUUUAAGCGAGGAGGAGGCUACCGAGAUUAAUACUCUUGGAUAGUGGACGUUACUCGCAGAAUAAGCACCGGCUAACUCUGUGCCAGCAGCCGCGGUAAUACAGAGGGUGCAAGCGUUAAUCGGAUUUACUGGGCGUAAAGCGCGCGUAGGUGGCCAAUUAAGUCAAAUGUUAAAUCCCCGAGCUUAACUUGGGAAUUGCAUUCGAUACUGGUUGGCUAGAGUAUGGGAGAGGAUGGUAGAAUUCCAGGUGUAGCGGUGAAAUGCGUAGAGAUCUGGAGGAAUACCGAUGGCGAAGGCAGCCAUCUGGCCUAAUACUGACACUGAGGUGCGAAAGCAUGGGGAGCAAACAGGAUUAGAUACCCUAGUAGUCC